This is a long non-coding RNA of Leopardus geoffroyi (Geoffroy's cat), 4184 nucleotides long. RefSeq lists it as uncharacterized. Lineage: Eukaryota; Metazoa; Chordata; Mammalia; Carnivora; Felidae. The transcript is spliced from 2 exons. The record is from RefSeq and is a predicted model, not a curated record.
CCCAGCGGGAGGAGGGGCUGCGCCGGGGGCGGCUGCCCCGCGGCCGGAUGGCGCGCGCCGGGGAGGGGCCGCGGGCGGCAGGCGGAAGCGGCCGACCCCAGCCCCCAACUCCGCGUACCGGCUUACACCCAUUUCCUGCCUUCCUAGUUGGCAGCUUGAGAUGACAGGAUGCGAGGGAACGAGCGACGUCCUGGGGCCCCUCGCUCUGGGCCGGCGUUUUCAGGACACGGCUUCAAACCCCCCGCCAACGCCGGGUCCUCCCAAACCUUCCAGCCUCCCCGCACCGGCCGUCGCUCUCCGCGAGGCUUUACGGGCCCCUGCUCAGGCUCCUCUCACCGCCUUUAUCAGGCCGUUCUGAAAUUAUUUGUUUACCUGGCUGCCUCCCUUACUCUUCUGGAGAGCCUCCCUGCUAGACCACACCGUGCCCUGUUUAUCUUUAUAGUCCCACGGCCAUUUAAGUACGCUACCUGGUAUAUAGGAAGCAAUCAGUAAAUAUUUGUUGGCUAAGUGAAUGUUCCUCAAGCCCGCCGAACUGGAGGCCAACACAGAUGAUCUUCAGAGAGGGUCAAAGCAGCUUGAAGAAGGAAGAGGGCUCAGCAUUCUGGGAGGUCAGCACAGCACGCCUGUUUAUGCACCAACCUCGGAAGGACUGUGGGUUUCUGUUUCCUCACCUGUGAAAUGGGAAUAGUUCCAGUUACCUCCCAGGGGGUUGCAAUCAGAGGACAUUACAGGUUGGUACAGCUACAGCACCCAGCAUCCAUUCCUGCCCAGUUUAAGUCGGCAGUACAUGGAACCUAACAUUAUUAAGGAAAUUUCCACUUUUCCGGGGUCAUAGAGAGCUUCUCCAUUCCUGUAUCAUAAACACAAAUUUUAAACUGCUUAUAUCAGUAGGUUCUCCCUCACUUCCCAUGCCCAGGAAUUCUCUCACACAGCAUGCUGUUCCUUUCCAGCACAGCACCAAUCACAAUUUCUAAUUAUUGGCUUGCUUCACUGUUUAUCUCUCUCUGCCCCUCACCCCCCCAACAUUCUUCACCCUAUACUGGUUUAAGUGCUGCUAGGAGUGGGGUGGGACUGGGGGUGAAGAUAAGACUCCUGCUUUUAGGGAGUUUAAACUGGUGUCCUAGAGACAAGAUACCCAAAACAACUCCAGGGAUUCUGGUUGAAAUUGUAGAAAGCAAAGACUUGUGUUCAGAGCAUGGUGACAAAAAAAAAAAAAAAGAGAGUGGUAAUCAUUCGAUUUACCUAUUGGAUUUUCCUUGGGUUGGGGGGUAGGGGGAGUCGGAAGAUUUUGAUAGAUUUAAUUGCUGUCCUGAUGUCAUGUCUCUCUAUGGGAGAAAAUGUGUAUGUUGGAUGAAAAUAAACCAAGAAUCUCGAAAUUGCAAUGGGAGUUCGGAAGAGGCAAGGGCCACAAUUAAUCUGGAAACUUGGACAGCCCAGUCCAUUCCCAAUCCCUCCCUCAGUUACAUAAGGAACCACGAGGGGGCAAUGUCUUCCUGAUCAAUGGCUGAGUGGUGGUCUUGGCCCCUGUGCCUCCGAUACUGCCGGCACUUUGCCCUCCUUGGCCAGUGCCUGUUACUGAAUACACUCCACAGAAAGAUAUUGUCUUUCUGGAGCCUGGCAAAGGCCCAAGAAAAAUGACAAUUGAUCUAGUCAUUGAUGGUUCCAGUCAGACUCCACUUAUGAGUAGGUGGAAGAUGUUGUAGGAUUCCAGGAUGCUGGGAGAACCUCCCCUACCCCCACCCAGGGAAAUGUGGCUUAAUUCCAAGUGUAGAACCUGAUUCCUUUGUCUUUAAGCCAAGCCAGCACUUUGUCCAUUGUUAACAGUUAAAAACCUCUGGGAUAAAAAAUGAAAAUACAGGCAAUGAGAGAAUCUUGAUUUGUUCAUUGUUGUGUUCCCAACAUCUAGAUAGUGCCUCAUGCAUAGUAGGCAUUCAGUAAUUAUUUUUGAAUGAAUGCACACAUUAAAUCUUAUCAGAUCUUGAUUCUCAGGCAUGAAUGACAUCAUCAGAUCCUUCCAAGACCCUGCAGAAGGGUCUGAAUUAGUGGAGGCGUCUCAGCAUGGAGAGCCCCCACGAGGGCACUAGCAGAGUCAUAGUAGUGAUCUUUAGUCGUUAUUUUGCAGGGGGAGACCCUAGGUAGAGAACAUUUGUGGAGACAACUGAUGAGAUCUCAAAAAUAAAAAAUCCCACCACUCAGCCGGUCCACCUAACACAUCAGGCAAUUAACAAUACAGAAGGGAGGCCUAGAACAUAUCCCAAUGGUAAGCAUGACAUUCAAGGUGUUUUCAGAGAAGUAUAUGGGGAUGGGGGUUAUAUGCCAUGAAAAGAAGGACUCCUGUUUUCUGUCCUUCCCAUGAAGAAUGGCGUAGACUUACCUGGAAAAACAGUAGGGUCGUAUAGUACCAACAAAACCCAAUGAAAAUCUGUAAAUAGACUUUGGCUGUUUAUAAAACUUAGGGGAAAGGGAUCAUUCAGGAUAUAAGUGAUCUUUCUGACCUGUUUACUACCUCAAAGAAAGAAAGUUUCAAAACUGAGAUCUCAGCAGCACUAGUUUCCAGUCGCCCUACAAGCUACCCAUGAGACAACAAAGGGAUUUUGUAUCCUAGGAAAGUAGGGCUAAUGACCACGAAACAUCUGCUUUCUCUCCUGCCCACUACUUUACCGCUUUGCUUCUAGCCUGCAAGGUUACAGACUAGAUUGAAAGGGAAAUAUUGUAUGCACCUGUAGUUUUAUUACUUAUCUCUGUUUCUCUGGCAGUGUUCAUUUUGAGGCUUGCUUUAAGAAAUCCAAACCUAUAAUUACAUCUUAAAUGUCUCUGGGAAUUGCAGACAUUGAAGAUCUAUUUUGAGGUAGUUUGCAUGGCAUGGGUUUUGUGCCUGUGUUGGCAGCAGAAAGCUACAGUAUCUACCACGUGAAUUGUGAUUAUCUGUUAACACUUCUGCCUCCUCUGCUAGACCCAAAAAGUUCUCGAGGCCAGAGGCUAUGUUUUAGAGUUUUGUCAUCCUUGACAUCUCUCGCCCUACCCACCCCCCCAACACCUCCAGGCCAUCAUCAUCUUCCCCGAUUUUAUUUAUUUAUAAUUGUAGCUUUAAAAAACACACAACCGCAUUUGCCAUUCUUCAGCGCACAGUUCAGUAGUGUGGAGUAUAUAUAUUCACAUUGUUGGGCAACAUCCUCUUGAUUUUUACCUCCUAAAUAGUUGUGAGAUUCAAUCACUUCCCUCCGAUCUUUUGUGGAAGCCCUUGCAGCCACGUGGAGAGGCUCACGUGGAAGAGAAGUAGGUCCCAGACUCACAGCUCCAGCUGAACUCUCUCAGCGGACAGCUGGUACCAAUUGCCAGCCUUUUGAGUGAGUUCUCUGAGAAGUGGAUACUCCAGCCCUGGUUGAGCUGCUCCAGCUGAUGCCACACGGAAGAGAGAUGAGCUGUCUCCGGAGUCAUGCCCAAACUGCAAAACUGUUAGCCAAAAAGUAAAUGCCGUUGUUUUAAAACACUGAGUUUGAAGGUGGCUUGUUAUACAGCAAUAGAUAACUGAGACAUAAGUGCAUAUCUAGAGGUAACGUCCUGGUGUGUAGAAACUUAGAACAUGUGGCAGUGGCUUUGGGACCAGGUGGAGGAGGGAAGCUGGAAGAACUUUGAGGAAUCUACUAGUGAAGAGCAUUACUAUGGGGCAGUGAGUAUUGUCGUAACAGGCUAGAGAGAGGGGGACCCGAUUUAUCCAUUGGAAAAACAAUUAGCUGAACAAGAUUGCUGGUACAUGUAAGAUAGAAAAGAUACCUAAUGAACAAGUGGAUCUGGUUAAGGAGAUAUUUGGAUAGAUGUUGUAAAGGUUGAAGAAUUUUGGGGGGCACCUGGGUGUCUCGGUUGGUUAAGUGUCCGACUUUGGCCCAGGUCAUGAUCUCAGGUUUGUUGAGUUUGGGCCCCGUGUCGGGUUCUGUGCUGACAGCUCAGAGCCUGGAGCCUGCUUCAGAUUCUGUCUCCCUCUCUCUCUGCCCCUCCCCCACUUGCUCUCUGUCUCUCUUUCUCUCAAAAAUAAAUAUUAAAAAACUAGAAAAAAGAAAGGUUGAAGAAUUUCUUUCAGAUACUUAUAGUACAAGUGAGAUGAGCCAAAAAAAAAAAAAAGAAAGAAAAGAAACUGUUCAAUUUUUAUCCCAAUUUAGAGGAAACAUAAAGAAGCCAGGACUUCC